CUCAUAUUAUCCUUAUAACAAUGCUUCAGUUAGUACAAGUAUUAUUAUUUCUCUUUUACAGAUGAGGAAGCCGAGACUCAGAGGACUCGAGUGAUUUUUUUCCCCCAAGGUCACAUAAGUUUCAGAGUUCAUGAACCAGUGCCUAGGAGAAUCAUGGAACUCAACCUUCCAACAAUGACAUCACUCCAAGGAAGAUAUUGUGAUAGAGGCUGGCACUAAAGAAAAAGUGCCAGACUGAAGAGUAUAUGGAAUUGAUCACCUUGAUGGGGGAGGGGCUCCAGGAGUGAAUUUCUGGAGGAGAGAAGACUCUGGCUGGGAGAGCAGUGUGGGUCUCUCUGUCUUGAGAAGUCAGAGAGAAGGUGGAUAAAGACUUUCUCCUGAGGGUUACCCAUUUUCCUACUGAUGACUAGAAAUCUUCCCCCUCCCCAAACUUC
Molecule: long non-coding RNA, 434 nt
Filed under: Monodelphis domestica (gray short-tailed opossum)
Lineage: Eukaryota; Metazoa; Chordata; Mammalia; Didelphimorphia; Didelphidae
Description: lncRNA (ENSMODG00000038599.1)
Source: RNAcentral